Molecule: non-coding RNA, 146 nt
Organism: Osmia lignaria (orchard mason bee)
Lineage: Eukaryota; Metazoa; Arthropoda; Insecta; Hymenoptera; Megachilidae
Source: RefSeq, a predicted model, not a curated record
CACCACUUAUAUAAUUCUGUUUUACCAACGGCGACUCCACUCAUUGGACCAAAUGGCGUCGUACUGACCUGUCAAAGUCAAAAACUAUAAGAUUUGAUACUUUUCAUCCAGAAAUUUUUGGUCCCCCAAGACGAAGUUCAGCCGUU